This 24-nucleotide ribosomal RNA is filed under the name Metroxylon salomonense. RNAcentral's name for it is "partial 26S ribosomal RNA". Lineage: Eukaryota; Viridiplantae; Streptophyta; Magnoliopsida; Arecales; Arecaceae. The record is from RNAcentral.
GCGCGACCCUAGGUCAGGCUAGCC